GCACCCAUGGCUCAGCUCUGUAGAGCGUUGCCCUCCGAAGGCAAAGGUCACACGUUCGAAUCGUGUCGGGUGCGCCA
RNAcentral lists this transfer RNA (77 nucleotides) under Rhodopseudomonas palustris. RNAcentral describes it as "tRNA-Arg". It matches the Rfam family "tRNA". From Rfam's summary of the family: Transfer RNA (tRNA) molecules are approximately 80 nucleotides in length. Their secondary structure includes four short double-helical elements and three loops (D, anti-codon, and T loops). Further hydrogen bonds mediate the characteristic L-shaped molecular structure. tRNAs have two regions of fundamental functional importance: the anti-codon, which is responsible for specific mRNA codon recognition, and the 3' end, to which the tRNAs corresponding amino acid is attached (by aminoacyl-tRNA synthetases). tRNAs cope with the degeneracy of the genetic code in two manners: having more than one tRNA (with a specific anti-codon) for a particular amino acid; and 'wobble' base-pairing, i.e. permitting non-standard base-pairing at the 3rd anti-codon position. The record is from RNAcentral. Lineage: Bacteria; Pseudomonadati; Pseudomonadota; Alphaproteobacteria; Hyphomicrobiales; Nitrobacteraceae.